Molecule: non-coding RNA, 504 nt
Organism: Danio rerio (zebrafish)
Lineage: Eukaryota; Metazoa; Chordata; Actinopteri; Cypriniformes; Danionidae
Source: RefSeq, a predicted model, not a curated record
CCACGCUCGUCCUGAUUUUGCCAAGUGCUAGUUGUCCUGAGACCAACAUAUUUUAUGAUGACCCAGGGACAACAUCUCUAUCAGCCAAUCAAAUGUUAUUACGUCAUCAUUAUGAGCCUCCUGCAGAGUCCGCCAAAAAACGCAAAUUCAAAUAAGAAAACACACCCACCCACACACAGGCAACUGCCAUUUUCACCAGUGAAGAGGACAGGUGAAGAGGACAAGUGAAGAGGAGGAGCAUUGAACAAGAUAAAUGUGCAAAACCUGGGCCUUGAAUCAUGCUUUGAUUUGGCAACUCAUUUCUUGGAACCUCUCGCAGUUGAUGUUUUCUUCUUCCUUUCUAGAGGACUGCCUGAAAUAAGCUUAGUACACAACUAAGGUGGUAAACAAAAACAAAACUCAGAUUACGUUUUUACAAUUAGAAUUUUAUUUCAUUUUAGACAGUUGUUCUAUUGUAAAUGUUAUGUUCUAAACUGAUAUCAGAUAUACUGUACAAAAUAAAAU